This 468-nucleotide ribosomal RNA is filed under the name uncultured bacterium. RNAcentral's name for it is "partial 16S ribosomal RNA". It matches the Rfam family "Bacterial small subunit ribosomal RNA", at positions 28 to 507 of the family's 1533-position model. The record is from RNAcentral.
GACGAACGCUGGCGGCGUGCUUAACUCAUGCAAGUCGAACGGAAAGGCCCUGCUUUUGUGGGGUGCUCGAGUGGCGAACGGGUGAGUAACACGUGAGUAACCUGCCCUUGACUUUGGGAUAACUUCAGGAAACUGGGGCUAAUACCGGAUAGGAGCUCCUGCUGCAUGGUGGGGGUUGGAAAGUUUCGGCGGUUGGGGUUGGACUCGCGGCUUAUCAGCUUGUUGGUGGGGUAGUGGCUUACCAAGGCUUUGACGGGUAGCCGGCCUGAGAGGGUGACCGGCCACAUUGGGACUGAGAUACGGCCCAGACUCCUACGGGAGGCAGCAGUGGGGAAUAUUGCACAAUGGGCGGAAGCCUGAUGCAGCAACGCCGCGUGCGGGAUGACGGCCUUCGGGUUGUAAACCGCUUUCGCCUGUGACGAAGCGUGAGUGACGGUAAUGGGUAAAGAAGCACCGGCUAACUACGUG